UUUAAGAAGCUUCAUUGUCGACAUUGUGAGACGAUUUUUCAUCACACCAGUAUACUCGAUGGACGUAUUAUUCCAUUGUUGCAGCAGACAGGCUUCUAUGGUAUUACAUGCAAGUUUUUUUACACCCAAUCUACCCUUUAGUAUUGUCCAGGUCAACUUCCACUUCAUUAAAGAGAAAAGAAAAAAAAAAACAUAAUUUUGGAGCUCGACGUGUAUUAAGCACGUACAUCGAAGAAAAAGGUAUUGGAAUUAAUGUUGAAGCAUUAAUCGCCUUCUUCUUUCUCUCAUUUUGGGGAAACCCUAACCCUAACCUAAAGAAACGGGAAAAGUAACCUCAACUUUAUCUCUGUUUGAAAACCAAAUUUUAAGCUUCCUUGUUUUCCUCUUAGUUUAGGAAAUGGAAAAACCCUAACCUACCUUUACUUCCUCUCAUUCUAAAAAAAUUGAACAACCCAAAACUCUUUCUCUCAUUUUGAAACAUCUCCACCACGUUUUCCUCCAAUUUCGAAAACCCAAAAAGCUUGAAUAAUAUUGUAAAAGGCUCAUAGGGUUGGAAUGUAGAAGAGACAGAAAGCGUGGUAAAUGAUUAGUUGGACUACUAAUCUUAAACUCUCUUCAUAUUCGAUCGACAAGGAUCUCUCAUAAGUAGAGGCAAAACCUCAUUAUUUUGAUGGUUCUCAUAACGUGUUAUUGGUUGGAAGAAGUCAUGCAUCCAUUUUAUGCCUUAUACCAUCAUCAAGAAAGGUGCAUUUUUUAUCACUUGAAUGGAGGGGAAAUGUUGCACCAGGAAUACAAUAGGUUCUUGAAGAAGGUUCAUCUUCAAUCUGGAUAGCUUGGACCAGUGCAAUACGUUUUGUGUAAAAGUGAGACUUGAAUGUGUACCAUUAUGAAUAUCAAACCCCAUUGAAAAUGAUGUGUAAUGUUGUAUGAUGUAGACAACACAAGAAAUAUGUCAGACGUAACAUGUUAAUUAGUGGUAAUAAUUUUUCCUUAUUUGGUAA
Long non-coding RNA from Vitis riparia (riverbank grape), 1001 nucleotides. RefSeq lists it as uncharacterized. The transcript is spliced from 3 exons. NCBI's taxonomy places the organism in Eukaryota, Viridiplantae, Streptophyta, Magnoliopsida, Vitales, Vitaceae. The record is from RefSeq and is a predicted model, not a curated record.